RNAcentral lists this ribosomal RNA (398 nucleotides) under uncultured Ascomycota. Its description in RNAcentral is "SSU rRNA". It matches the Rfam family "Eukaryotic small subunit ribosomal RNA", at positions 165 to 565 of the family's 1831-position model. Lineage: Eukaryota; Fungi; Ascomycota. The record is from RNAcentral.
UAAUACAUGCUAAAAACCCCGACUCUGGAAGGGGUGUAUUUAUUAGAUUAAAAACCAAUGCCCUUCGGGGCUCUUUGGUGAUUCAUAAUAACUUUUCGAAUGCGCAUGGCCUUGCGCCGGCGAUGGUUCAUUCAAAUUUCUGCCCUAUCAACUUUCGAUGGCAGGGUCUUGGCCUGCCAUGGUUACAACGGGUAACGGAGGGUUAGGGCUCGACCCCGGAGAAGGAGCCUGAGAAACGGCUACUACAUCCAAGGAAGGCAGCAGGCGCGCAAAUUACCCAAUCCCGAUUCGGGGAGGUAGUGACAAUAAAUACUGAUACAGGGCUCUUUUGGGUCUUGUAAUUGGAAUGAGUACAAUUUAAAUCCCUUAACGAGGAACAAUUGGAGGGCAAGUCUGGU